RNAcentral lists this ribosomal RNA (328 nucleotides) under uncultured bacterium. RNAcentral describes it as "bacterial SSU rRNA". It matches the Rfam family "Bacterial small subunit ribosomal RNA", at positions 30 to 352 of the family's 1533-position model. The record is from RNAcentral.
AUUGAACGCUGGCGGCAUGCUUUACACAUGCAAGUCGAACGGCAGCACGGGUGCUUGCACCUGGUGGCGAGUGGCGAACGGGUGAGUAAUGCAUCGGAACGUGCCCAUGAGUGGGGGAUAGCCCGGCCGAAAGCCGGAUUAAUACCGCAUACGCCCUUAGGGGGAAAGCGGGGGAUCUUCGGACCUCGCGCUAUUGGAGCGGCCGAUGUCGGAUUAGCUAGUAGGUGAGGUAAAGGCUCACCUAGGCGACGAUCCGUAGCUGGUCUGAGAGGAUGAUCAGCCACACUGGGACUGAGACACGGCCCAGACCUCCGUACGGGAGGCGAGC